GCCGCGGUAACCUGACCGUGCGAAGGUAGCAUAAUAAUUUGUCUUUUAAUUGGGGGCUGGUAUGAACGGCUGGAUGAGGGGCCAAUUGUCUCGUAACUAAGAUUAAAAUUUUACUUUUAAGUGAAAAGGCUUAAAUUCUAUUAAGGGAAGAUAAGACCCUAUAAAACUUCAUAUAAGGGGGUUAUGCUUUGUUUCAUAGGUUGAAAAUAGAGAUAAUCUGACUUAUAUUUUGCUGGGGCGGCAGUAAUAUAAACUUACCUGUUAUUUAUAAUAAGUUAGUGAUAACUAAUAAAUGAUCUUUUUUUAAGGAUUAUAAGAACAAGUUACUUUAGGGAUAACAGCGUAAUUUUCUUUGAGAGAUCUAAUCGACAGGAGUAGUUGCGACCUCGAUGUUGAAUUAAAAUUUCUAUCUGGUGUAGAAGCUAGGUUAGUAAGUCUGUUCGACUUUUGAAAUU
Molecule: ribosomal RNA, 455 nt
Filed under: Cuapetes kororensis
Lineage: Eukaryota; Metazoa; Arthropoda; Malacostraca; Decapoda; Palaemonidae
Description: partial large subunit ribosomal RNA
Rfam family: Archaeal large subunit ribosomal RNA
Source: RNAcentral